This is an RNA transcript of Anopheles funestus (African malaria mosquito), 4988 nucleotides long. It is a transcript of the gene named WD repeat-containing protein 19, with no coding region annotated. The transcript has 12 exons. The record is from RefSeq and is a predicted model, not a curated record. NCBI's taxonomy places the organism in Eukaryota, Metazoa, Arthropoda, Insecta, Diptera, Culicidae.
UGCGAGGUAUUUUCGUAUUUGUAUAAAAUACAAUUUUAUUCACUUGUUUCAGAAGAUGGUUUAAUAACUUUUAAAAAUCUGAUGGACACCACCUGCAAGCGUUUUUUUUAAAUUAGAACAACUCCUCUCCCCAAACCAAUCUGUCUUUUAAGACGAGUUUUGGUUGCUACAUGCAUUCAGCGGUAUGUUGCAACAUCUACGCGUAGAUAGGUAUCUUUUUUCGUUGUUAAAUUGUGCAUCUACAAACGUCAGAUUUACACCUGUCAAUUUAUCAAAUCGAUUGAACCUGUUACCUUGUGUUGUUUGUGUUCGGUUUGCACCUGUUUGGUGGCGUUCAAACAAAGCGUUCUAUCAAUAAACAAGUUGUUGAACUUUCCGUGAAAUGUAGUGAUGCAAACAAGAGUUAAGUGUAUAAUAAACGAAUAAUUAAAGUGACUGAGCAGUCACAUGUUUUAUCGCUGCUGUACCGGCACGUUCAGCAAUCGAUCGUUUGGGUUAGCGCUACCAUAGCAACCAAUGUCCAUGGUUUGUGAUAAACAGAAAAUUUUCAAUGCGAUACGCAAACAUUUAUAGAUCUGUGUGUAAUUGCUUAAACACUUGAUUUAAGAAAGUUUCCAAAAUGGUUUUUACCGUAACCUAAUAGAACAAACAGCAGCGCGUAGAAAUUUUGUUGUGAAAGAUCGUGAAGAGUGCGAACAGAAUGAGCAACGAAAAGGUUCUUUACCGUCAUGAAGAACCACACGGCCAAGGUGAUGUAUAUUUCCUAUGGCAGACAGGUGCUUCUGCACAACUGUUGGCUAGCACCGGGAGCGAUGGUACGGUGGCUAUUUUCAACCGCCAAGGGCAACUGCAGGAACGAAUUGUACUGCAGGGGCUUUGCGCUGGGUUUGCUUGGGAUCGCGACGGAGACGUUCUGGCAAUGAUAACGGCCUCUUCACACCAGCUUAUCAUUUGGGAUUCAAACUCGCAGAAAAAGCAAACCGUCGACAUAGGACUUCGUGACCUGCCGAGUUGUAUAAUUUGGUCGAAGAAAAUAGCCAUUCUUGCGGUAGGAACGUCGCGCGGAAAUCUGUCUAUCUACAAUCACAUCUCCACAAAACGAAUACCAAUUCUUGGCAAGCACACGAAACGCAUAACCUGCGGUGCUUGGUCCACGGAGAAUAUCCUUGCGCUUGGCAGUGAAGACAAAUAUCUCACUCUCAGCAAUGAGGAGGGCGACACGUUGCGUUCGAUCCAGCUUCGCGAUUGUCCGAGUGAUAUGUAUUUUGCCGAAAUGAAGACAGACGAACGUGUGCCGGGAGAAAAUACGAUCAGUAUGAUUCUGGGCAAACGUACGCUCUUCCUCUACCAUCUACCCGAACCGGACUCUCCCACGGAGCUAGGAUUUCAGCAACGAUACGGAUCACUGCUGCAACACAAAUGGUUUGCCGAUGGAUAUAUUCUGCUGGGUUUCAGCCUGGGUCAUGUCGUAGCUAUUUCAACGCACCCGCGCGAAGUCGGACAGGAGCUAUGGCAGGUGAAAAAUCAUCGCGAUUCGCUUAACAGUAUUGCCGUUUGUAAGGAGUUGGAGCUUAUUGCGUCCUGUGGAGAUAAUAAUGUAAAAGUUCAUUCCAUGACUAACCUGCAAGAAACCGUUAAGAUUCUCAGUUUACCCGACCAGGCAGCCUUAAAGCACGUUGAAUGGAGCACAGACGGACAGUUGCUCGGUGUAACGACAUCUCAGGGUGCAAUUUGUGUGUUUGUCACGAAGCUUCAUUCGCUGUACGCAGUAGCACCGCCAAGAAUAGCACUGUUAUCGAGUUUGGCAGAGAUAGCGAUUUACCAUUAUGCACCGGAUCGUCAAAAAUCGACACCCGUACUUAUAACGCUUGAAAUUGAGCCAUCGUUUUUGACGAUCGGCCCGUACCACAUGGCAUGUGGUAUGAACAAUCACGUUUGGUUCUACGAUCUUGGUCGUUCGUUGAGCGAUACUCCGCUGCUGCUCGGUGAUCGGGAGUACAUGUCAGAAAUCAAACAGGUGGCCCUUAGCUCCGACUAUUGUGCCGUGCUGUGCGGUGGACAAAUAAUGCUACAUACGAUUGAAUCUUCAAACGAAGCGACACAGAAUCGUGAACCGAAAAUAUUUCCGGAUGAGAUAAGAGGCUUGGCAGAGUCGGUUAUAACGUGCCUUGGGUUGACAAAUGAUUUUCUAUGCUUUGCAACAGAUCUUGGUAACAUAGUUUAUUUUUCGCUCGAAAACUGGUCCACAGUGUUGCAGUUUCGUCAUCAAGUCGGGAUACGAGCUAUAUAUCCGGAUGUUGACGGUACAAGAUUGAUAUUUAUCGAUGACCACAGCCAGGGCUAUCUUUUCAUCGCAGCUUGUGACGAAGCAUUACGAAUAUCAGAUUUCCCCAAAUAUUGUACCGGCGUUCUGUGGGACUUUUCGCAGCCACACAUUUUCGUAGCAAAUGAUCGAAACACGUGUAUCACAUACGCAUUCGUACGUGUAUCUGUGAAAGGUAAAAUGGUCGAAAAAGUCGGUACGACAAGUUUGAUAAGUGAACAGACGCCUCUGAUGCUGUACGAUGGAGAUCUCUGCCUACAUGGCAGCGGAGGAAAGCUAACAUCGAUCAUACUGGACACACACGCCAAUAAACCUGGUCGCGAUGUAAAGGAACAGCUUCGUACCACCAAACUGAUGCGCAAGUACGGAGAUGCCUGGGAACUUUGCAAAUUGAUGAAUGAUGUCGACGAAUGGAGGGAGCUAGGAAUGGCAGCUAUUGCCGAUUUGAAUGUGGCUUUCGCAAUUAAAGUGUUUCGUAAUAUUGGUGACGUUGCAAUGGUUUAUGCGCUAGAAGAAGUAAGUCAAAUUGAGGAUUUAAAUACGCUGGCCGGAUUUUGUGCUGUUUUGGGAAAUGAAAUAGAAGAAGCUAAAGCACUAUUCGCUAAGAGCGGUAACCCAUCCGAAGCGCUAGAGCUGUGCCGAGAUCUACUGCAAUGGGAGCAAGCGAUGGCGCUGGCAACUACACUAGCACCGGAACAAUUACCUUUCCUAGCGCGCGAGUAUGGAGCACAGUUAGAAUUCACUGGAAACCACGCUGAAGCAUUGAUGAACUUUGAAAGAGGUCUUAAGCACACAGAGUCAGAAUCCAAACAACAGCAACAGGAGCAACAUGUGAAACUGUGCAAAGCAGGCAUCGCCCGAACUAGCAUUAAGUGUGGUGAUGUACGACGGGGGCUACAGCUGGCACUGGAGCUCAACGACAAGCAACUGUACAUUGAAUGUGGCGAAGCAAUGCUGACUGCGGGACACUUGUCUGAAGCAGCUUCAAUGCUCGAAAAGGGGGAAAGUUGGGACAAGGCAGCAGAAAUAUUCAUUAAUCUGAAGCAGUGGAAGAAAGCAGAUACGAUCUUGCCAAACGUCGUAAGCCUUAAACUGCACGCCGCCUAUGGUAGGGCCAAAGAAGCCGAGGGACAUUACGCCGAUGCAAUCAACAGUUACCAGCUUGCGGGAGAUCUAGACGGUGUCGUCCGAAUAUAUCUACAGUACCUUGAUGAUCCUCAUUCGGCUUCGGAGAUUCUACUGGAAACACGCUCCAUGGAGGGAUCGAAGCUGUUAUCGAAAUAUUUUGAGCAGCAUGGUGAUUACGAGUCUGCGAUACAGUUUCUGAUACUGUGCGGAUGCAUAACAGAAGCAUUCACGAUAGCUCAAAAGCAGAACAAAAUAGUGUACUAUGCUGAGGUGCUCGAGCAGAGCGCCUCUGCGAAAUCGGGUGAUUUUCUUGAAUUGGGAGGAUAUUUCGACAGUGAGAAGUACACCCUCCUAGCCGGCAAGUACUAUUUUCUGGGCAAAGAAUAUGCUAAAGCUCUUAAACUGUUGCUAAAGGCGGCUUCCGUAGGAAAUGAAGAAAACACGGCACUGUCUCUAGCUAUUGAUUGCGUUGCAUCGGCUGGAGAUGAGAAAUUGUCCAACGUACUGAUAGAGUAUCUUUUGGGUGAGUCUGACGGCAUACCGAAGGAUCCGAAGCUGCUAUUCCGGCUGUAUAUGGCUAAGCGUCAAUUCAAAGAGGCAGCAAAAGCUGCCAUGAUCAUUGCCAACCAAGAACAGAUUGCCGGUAACUAUCGCAGCGCUCACGAUUUACUGUUCUCCAUGUACCAAGAACUAAAACGCAACCAUCUAGCUAUUGCGACCGAUAUGAAAGUAACACUCGCUUUGCUGCAUCGCUACACGCUGGUUCGAAUUCAUGUGAAACGAGGAAAUCAUUUGCUGGCAGCGAAGUUGUUGCUUCAAGUAGCGAAAAACAUUUCCCAAUUUCCGUCACAUGUUGUUCCUAUUCUAACCUCCACUGUCAUCGAAUGCCACCGAACGGGUCUUCGAAAAUCUGCCUUCGAAUACGCGGUAAUGCUGAUGCGGUCCGAGCACCGGAGCCAAAUCGAUGCGAAAUACAUAAAGAAAAUCGAAUCUAUCGUUAGAAAAGCUCCACGUGGACAGUUAGAAGAUGAAGGUGAACAAGAAUCGAGUCCGUGCCCAGUUUGUGAAACACCACUCCCCAACAUGCAUAUAGUUUGCGGACAGUGUAAAACGACAUUACCAAUAUGUAUUGCUACGGGACAACAUAUUGUUCGCGACGACGUAGCUGCAUGUCCCGAGUGUGAUUUCCCUGCGAUGAAAGUGGAAUUUAUCAAAAUUUUGGAAACAACCAACAACCAAUGUGCAAUGUGUGGCGAAGAAAUAGAUGCUGGACGAUUGGUCGAUAUCGAUGACAUACAACCAUACAUCAAUGCUGGCACUUAAGGAUUUGCAAUUUGUGGUGUAAGAAGAAAAGCAAGGUUUUACGGUGAGCUUUUGUGUACCUUCUAUUGUUUUCGUCAGUUUACGUUGGGAAACCUAAAAACUCGCUGUGUUUUUGCUGCGUGUAGCCGCGAGCUAUUGUGGAUAAGGUACCUUUCUUCGACUAGCACAACACGAAUGGAAAUCAUAAAAAUAACGCAAGUGAAACCAGCCGGAC